This 823-nucleotide ribosomal RNA is filed under the name uncultured bacterium. RNAcentral's name for it is "bacterial SSU rRNA". It matches the Rfam family "Bacterial small subunit ribosomal RNA", at positions 627 to 1449 of the family's 1533-position model. The record is from RNAcentral.
UGGAAACUNUCUGACUUGAGUGCAGAAGGGGAGAGUGGAAUUCCAUGUGUAGCGGUGAAAUGCGUAGAUAUAUGGAGGAACACCAGUGGCGAAAGCGGCUCUCUGGUCUGUCACUGACGCUGAGGCUCGAAAGCGUGGGUAGCGAACAGGAUUAGAUACCCUGGUAGUCCACGCCGUAAACGAUGAGUGCUAGGUGUUAGGCCCUUUCCGGGGCUUAGUGCCGGAGCUAACGCAAUAAGCACUCCGCCUGGGGAGUACGACCGCAAGGUUGAAACUCAAAGGAAUUGACGGGGGCCCGCACAAGCGGUGGAGCAUGUGGUUUAAUUCGAAGCAACGCGAAGAACCUUACCAGGUCUUGACAUCCCGAUGCUAUUCUUAGAGAUAGGAAGUUACUUCGGUACAUCGGAGACAGGUGGUGCAUGGUUGUCGUCAGCUCGUGUCGUGAGAUGUUGGGUUAAGUCCCGCAACGAGCGCAACCCUUGUUGUUAGUUGCCAUCAUUAAGUUGGGCACUCUAGCGAGACUGCCGGUAAUAAACCGGAGGAAGGUGGGGAUGACGUCAAAUCAUCAUGCCCCUUAUGACCUGGGCUACACAUGUGCUACAAUGGUCGGUACAACGAGUUGCGAGCCGGUGACGGCAAGCUAAUCUCUGAAAGCCGAUCUCAGUUCGGAUUGGAGGCUGCAACUCGCCUCCAUGAAGUCGGAAUCGCUAGUAAUCGCGGAUCAGCACGCCGCGGUGAAUACGUUCCCGGGCCUUGUACACACCGCCCGUCACACCACGAGAGUUUGUAACACCCGAAGUCGGUGAGGUAACCUUUUAGGGGC